This 255-nucleotide small RNA is filed under the name Vicugna pacos (alpaca). RNAcentral's name for it is "7SK RNA (ENSVPAG00000017729.1)". It matches the Rfam family "7SK RNA", at positions 79 to 331 of the family's 331-position model. Rfam says of the family: 7SK was discovered as an abundant small nuclear RNA in the mid-70s but a possible function has only recently been suggested. Lineage: Eukaryota; Metazoa; Chordata; Mammalia; Artiodactyla; Camelidae. The record is from Rfam by way of RNAcentral.
GCAUGUGUUCCUUCUCUGCACGAUUCUGUGUUUGUCCCUUUUAAAGCUGUGUACUUGAUACAAGUGAUAGCUCUUCCUGGAUAAGUCCUCUAAGUCUUACCUUCCCAGAUAAGACCCUCUACUCAAGGGUCUGUGGGUGCCCCUAACUGCUUGAUAGAACCUCCAAACAAGUUCUCGAAAAUCGCUUGUAGGAGAAAGUAGAGUUGUCAAGCUUAAGUGAAAACAUUCGAUUCUGCUUAAGACCAGGUCUCAAGC